RNAcentral lists this ribosomal RNA (493 nucleotides) under uncultured bacterium. Its description in RNAcentral is "partial 16S ribosomal RNA". It matches the Rfam family "Bacterial small subunit ribosomal RNA", at positions 29 to 507 of the family's 1533-position model. The record is from RNAcentral.
ACGAACGCUGGCGGCGUGCUUCACACCUGCAAGUCGAACGGAAAGGCCUGCUUUCCCUUGUGGAUUGCGGGUACUCGAGUGGCGAACGGGUGAGUAACACGUGAGUGAUCUGCCCCCAACUUGGGUAUAAGCCUGGGAAACUGGGUCUAAUUCCCGAUAGGACUGCAGGGUGGUGCCUGUGGUGGAAAACGAUUUUCUAGUGGUUGGGGAUGAGCUCGCGGCCUAUCAGCUUGUUGGUGGGGUAAUGGCCUACCAAGGCGGCGACGGGUAGCCGGCCUGAGAGGGUGGACGGCCACAUUGGGACUGAGAUACGGCCCAGACUCCUACGGGAGGCAGCAGUGGGGAAUAUUGCACAAUGGGCGGAGGCCUGAUGCAGCGACGCCGCGUGGGGGAUGACGGCCUUCGGGUUGUAAACUCCUUUCGACCGCGAGGAAGCCACCUGGUUGGAAGGGUGGUGACGGUAGUGGUAGAAGAAGCACCGGCUAACUACGUG